Molecule: ribosomal RNA, 494 nt
Filed under: uncultured bacterium
Lineage: Bacteria
Description: bacterial SSU rRNA
Rfam family: Bacterial small subunit ribosomal RNA
Source: RNAcentral
GAUGAACGCUAGCGGCAGGCUUAAUACAUGCAAGUUGAGGGGCAGCAUGAUAUACGCGAGUAUAUUGAUGGCGACCGGCGGACGGGUGAGUAAUAGGUAGGAGACCUACCUCAUACAGGGGGAUAGCAUAGAGAAAUCUGUGGUAAUACCCCAUGAGGUUAUAUGAAUAGAGGCAUAUAAUCAAAGCAUAAGCGAUUAUGCGGUAUGAGAGGGGCCUACUGACCAUUAGCUAGUUGGUGAGGUAAGGGCUCACCAAGGCGAAGAUGGUUAGGGGUUUGAGAGAGAGACCCCCCACAUUGGAACUGAGAGACGGUCCAGACUCCUACGGGAGGCAGCAGUAGGGAAUAUUGGGCAAUGGGCGAAAGCCUGACCCAGCCAUGCCGCGUGAAGGAAGACGGCCUUAUGGGCUGUAAACUUCUUUACUACGCGAAUAGAGGUUAGACGAGAUACUAAUAGGAAGGUAGUGUAAGUAAAAAGCAACCGGCUAACUCCGU